Molecule: long non-coding RNA, 786 nt
Filed under: Homo sapiens (human)
Lineage: Eukaryota; Metazoa; Chordata; Mammalia; Primates; Hominidae
Description: HSALNT0290295
Rfam family: NPPA antisense RNA 1 conserved region 1 (bases 205-377)
Source: RNAcentral
GGGUCCACUUCUCUGUAUUAGACAGUGACCUUAAUAAGAACAGAUUUCAUCCUGUGGAUCUUAGCAGAGGUCACCGUUGUCUGUUUCUCCCUUCAGAUGAACACUCUUCCUGAUCCUCUCCUCUAGAAUUCAUCUCCUCCUGCUAGCAGCCGCGUCCUGGAGGAGCAGCGGAUGGGGAAUCCAUUCUGUUUCUUCCUGGUGUUUAGGAAGUUGCCCCACACACAGAUUGCCCCGAUGUCCAACCAGAAGAAGUGAAACUGCUGCUGGGUCUGGAGAGGUGAAGACCCGUGGCCAGCUUCUGUUGUUGCCAUCGGCCAUUGCUUUUUGUUCGCUUGCUUUUGGUUUUGCAAGAAGAGCGGCCUCUGUCUCUGAUCUGCUUCAAAUCAUCAUUCCAUCAGUGACAGAAGUGGCUGUUCCAUCAGUGGUCGCAGCCAGUUCAGCUCCUGCAUCCAUCCCCAAGUGUUCUGAGUGGAAUUUGAGGCCUCCCCAACCACCUACCAAAAAAGGAGGGUGAAAUGAAAGGAAGAAGAAAAACUCAGCAUUCUUUCCUCUGACAAAGAGUAAAACGACAAGGAAUAUCGGCCUGAAUUCUCUUCCCAAGAAGAAAGAAAGCACACCAACGCAGGCAUUUGUCUUCUGUCCAUGGUGCUGAAGUUUAUUCACUUUCAAACCACUUUCAGUAACAGAUGACACAAAUGCAGCAGAGACCCCAGGGGACAGGAGCCUCUUGCAGUCUGUCCCUAGGCCCAGCCCUGCUUGUCCUCCCUGGCUGUUAUCUUCAGUACU